Molecule: long non-coding RNA, 669 nt
Organism: Jaculus jaculus (lesser Egyptian jerboa)
Lineage: Eukaryota; Metazoa; Chordata; Mammalia; Rodentia; Dipodidae
Exons: 4
Source: RefSeq, a predicted model, not a curated record
AGAAGGGGAGAGUAACUUUAGCUGCUCAUCCCCACUGCCAUGGUGUUUCGCACAGAUUCUCAGGUCCGAGAAUACAUGAAUUGAACCCAAGGAAACCGUGAGCCAGUUGUGUGGCUGCUGGGUGUGCUGAAGAGCACAUUGGGACCCAGGCCAUGUACUUGGCAGAAACAUCCAGAUGCAUCGGGAACUCAUCUGCGGAUUUGUUUUCUGGAACUCGUCAGGUCUUCAGCUGUUUACACGGGAUUUGCAGGCCCCACUGUGAUGAUUAUGUGACAGACCCACCAAGGAUCAACUCCUCUCACUCUGUGGAAAUUUCAACUGUGCAACUGUACAACAUACACACGUGUCUUGGAAGGUUAUUUCAUUGACCAGGAAGGCUCCAAGCAUCCUUCUGUCUUCACUUCCCCAGCUCUGGGAUUACAGGCAUACACUAUCUCUCCUGGUUUUCACCUGAGUGAAAAGGAUCUGAGCUCAAGUAUUCCUUGUCUGCAUAGCAAGCACUUUAUUGACCAAGCCAUCGCCCCAGCCCUGAUUGCCUCUUUCAAGUAAGAAGUCACAUGAUGGCUGAACCUUGGUGUGAUCAUCACAGCAGAUGGAAGUGACAGCUGUUGGAACUGUCAGUUCCCAGAUCUGAAAGAUCCAGGGAAGAAGUUUAUGCAAGCGGAGUUC